CACCCACAACUUCUGGAAUCAAGUUAUUCCACUGAUUGAUUGUUCUCACUUGAAAAGAAAUUUCUCCUUAGUUCUACGUUGGUUCUCUCCUGAAUUAGUUUUCAUCCACUGCUGCUUGUCUUGCCUUCUGGUGCUUUGGAAAAUAGGUUGAUCCCCUCUUCUCUGUGACAGCCCCUCAAAUAUUGGA
Molecule: non-coding RNA, 187 nt
Organism: Notechis scutatus (mainland tiger snake)
Lineage: Eukaryota; Metazoa; Chordata; Lepidosauria; Squamata; Elapidae
Source: RefSeq, a predicted model, not a curated record